This is a long non-coding RNA of Bombus terrestris (buff-tailed bumblebee), 5632 nucleotides long. RefSeq lists it as uncharacterized. Lineage: Eukaryota; Metazoa; Arthropoda; Insecta; Hymenoptera; Apidae. The transcript is spliced from 4 exons. The record is from RefSeq and is a predicted model, not a curated record.
AACAAUCAAAUAUGUACAAUAGAACGUCGAUUGUUGUACAAAACAGAAUUGAAGAAACGUCUAAAUAUCGAGGUUCGUGCAAUAAAGGAAGUGAACAAUUGGAUAAUUCACAGUUACAGUCCACUGUAUACUUCUUAUUAGUUCUUAUGAUGUAUGCUCUUCAUUCGUAUAUUCGUAAUCAAUUAUAACCAAUAUGGAUAUAAGAUAUAUCCUUACUAUGUAUUACCACAUAGAUGUAUAGAACGAAAUUUUCGUGCAAAUGAUCACCGUAGAUUCUUAUGAAAGUAGUUCAGUGUUUUAGAUACAUUUGAUAUUUACAAUAUGCAUAGUCGUUUUAUUGUUCAUGUACAUUUAAUGCUAUAGGAUAUUCAAUGAAAUAUAUGUGUAUGUAUGUACAGUUUCGUUUAAACCCGGGAUCUGGCGCUCCUCAUCGUUCCUUUAUUGUGUCAUUGGAAUUAAAAUAAAUUCGUUUAGGAUUAGUUUUUGAAUGAAUUUACGAAGUGAUGAUGUCAACCGUUUUUGUGUAUUCAACAAAUAGUAAUAAUCAUUCAUUAUUCUUUGGACUUCGGACUCUGGACUGGAUUUUGGACCUGUAUUUACCGGUACUAUUGUUCUCCUUUGUAAAAUUAUAUUUAUGUUAUAAUAGUAAUUUUGAAUAUGUAUUUUACACACUUUCUUGGUUUCUUUAUUUAUUUCGUACAUUAUAAUGGGCUUUAUAAAUUUUUCAAACUAAUGUAAUCUUUAAUACGUUUCGUGCCACCUAUAAGUAUACACCACCGAUAAUAUUCUUGUUUUAAGUUAUAUAAUACAUAUUAUCAUAAUGUGUGCAACUAGUGGUACACGCUAAGUAGAAAUUCGCGUGAAAGUAUUGUACGGAACGUAUGUGUAAUUGUUUUUAAAUUAAUUGAAUUAUCAAAAAUUAUACGUUAGUAAUUACUCUGAAUCUAUUCUUACAUGUAUAUUAUAAACAAUUAUUAUAUAUAUUUGGUGGACUACGUGCAAACAUUAAAAUUAAUUAAAAUAUCAGUGAUAACAAUUUACCAAUUUUGCUAUAAUAAAAAGAUUAAGUAAUCAAUUAAUAGAGAAAGAUGGAUAACAAUAUUUUAGACACAAUAUUAGUGAAUUCUAAGGAAUUACUAUUAAAUGUAACCUCAUUAAUAAUACUCUUCUUGAAUUCGAAUUCAUAUAUAAUUUAUUUAAAGUUCGUGCCGCAUAAUAAAAAUUGUACCCAUUCGAUAAAUCAGCUCAUACAGAAACAUAAAGUUAUCUACGUUUUUCGUAUCACGUAAGCUUGAUGGAUAUAGAAAAUACAUAUUAUGACGUCAAAGAACGAAAGUAAAGAAAUCACAUUUGACAAAUAAUUGUUCGCAAAUAUGUAUUCACUCGUAAAAAUUAAUUAACGCAUAUCCGCUUCCUGAUUAGUCGUCCUUUAGACCUCGCUUUUUUCUAUUUCGGUUCUGAUUGGUUGUUCGAACUCGACACGAUUUCUACGAUAAUUGGCACAUUCUAGAGAACACCAUGCUUUUUAUUCCGCGGGAAACUAUGUGGCAAGAAGUUUACUGUAUGACAGUUUAAAAAUCAGGAAACACAAUGGCAGUCAUAACAUCAGGAAAAAAGCUGAUAGGUACUUUUAUUUCUUAUAGACUUAAAUAAAAAUUACAGAAUUAUUUGUUUUUGAAUGUAAAGGUUUAAACAUUAAGGACAUUUUAGAUUUCAAGCUUCCGCGGUGAUAAGUUGCACUUGCACUUGUAAUUUGAACUUGCACUUUGCGUCGACAUUUCAUAGACAUAACAGUCUACUUCUUCAGGGCAGACCUCUUCGGGUGCAAGUGUAAAAUAGACACGAUUGUUCUCACGAUACCAAUAAUAUGACAUGAGGGACAUGUUGUUAACUUUCGGUUUAACCCAUUAACGAUCAAGCAGUGAAAUAAUGCAUAAAAGUUAGGUAAAUACAAUAUUACUGAAAAAUGUAAAUGGUUCAUGUAUUGUUAAUAUGUGGAAUAAUGAAUACUCUACAGAAGCCCACUGCAUGAAUAAAAGACACAAAAGGAAAUUCCCAUGAUUUAAAAAGGAAUAGUGCAUCAUAUUAUCAUAAAUAUUUAAAUAUCUCGAUGGAAGAAAAAAUAGUUACGGAAAAAAUAUCAAGGAGAGAAAGGAUUAUAAAUGAAAUGAGUUAGAUGAUUACACAAAAUAAAAUAAUUCAAGUAUUGAAAGGUAUAAUGUUAAAAAGUGAUUCAAAUCGAUAGGAGUCGGAUUUACAUACAACAAGAGGAGCUAGCAUCUGAUACAAAGAAAAAUUAGGGAUUACAUUACGCUUUCUCGAACUAUACGUAUGUAAAAGUUUGCCGUAUACUGAUAGCUAUAUUGUAUACAGUUAUAUUAGACGUUCCUAAUGAGAUUCUGUUCUUGUCCGAUUGAAUUGUAUUCCGUUGCUGUCCCGAUUGAAUUGCAACAUCUUGCUAACAGAAGGAGUUCCUUUGAAAAGAUAGACAUAUAAAUUUAAAAAUUAAAAAAUUUACAACAUUAAAAACUCAAUGAAUUAUUUUAGCUGACUUCGCUGGAUGAUGUACCUCAUAUGUAAUUCACCAUUUUUCUUAAGUUAUAAUUAACGAUACUCGCGUAAAAAGAACAUAAUCUAACUAACUAAAUUGUUGUCUUGACCAGUCAUUAAAAUAAAGUACACAUAUACAAUAUAUGUAAUUUGAAUGUGCACAAUAAAACGAAAAUAAGUUUUAUUAAAGAUAGAAAAUUUAUGCGUUAUUUUAAUUAGUAGAUUGUGAGCAAUUUAUGUUUAUAAUUAAGGAAGAAUAUAAAUUUUUAUUAGAGAGCAACGAUAACAUUACAUCUGUGGUAGAGAAAGUGCUCGCGAAUCUACAGCACGUCCCGCUCAGUGAUUUGUGCAUAUGUCAGAGAAAUUACAUAGCAACGAUGUUGAAAGAUAUUUCGCAUUAAUACUAUUCCAGUAGCACACAUUUAAGAUUUCUUGAUUAUUUAAGUUAUUAUUAGCUUUUUUAUAAUAUACCAAAUAAUAUGUUAAAUUGAACUAAGAUUAUUUAAAAAAAGAUAGACUUAUGUGUGCAAGGUUUCGAAUUUUCAAAUUUAAAAAUUGCUUAACUUUCAAAUUUUCAAAGUUCUAAGCCUUUUUACUUCUAAAUUUACAUUGUUUAAGACUACAGAAAGAAAACACGCCUCUCCAGUGGAAGUUCCUCAAGUACACCACGUACAUUCUUAACUUUUUCUAGCAAUAAUCGCUCAAACCUUACAUGGCCCUGGAACAGACGCAUUUCCUUAUACCUGAAACAAUAUAUUCUGUUACAUCGACGUCUUACAGAAUGUUACAAAACGCCGAAGCAUUCAAGCAUAAAAGAAAUGCUGCACUCUCCAUAAUUAAUAACGACAGCAAGGCGCACGAAAACAUUCUUAAAUUAUCGCUAGAACGGAUAGGAAACUAUAGUAGCUGUCUUUUUGCGAGCAACGAGAUUUCACCACAGGCGCGUUACCGAUAAACCAAUGCAACUUCUGGCUACGAGUACUAGGAGAGAAGCGUAAAUGGGACAAGCUCAACGGUCACACAACCGUGACUUUCUAGCCAUGUUGCGUUGUUGAGGCUUUUUGUCGUGUACCCAGUCGCUGUUUGUGCUUCCGCCUACACUGUUGCUUGAAAUAUGUUUUCUAGGGGAAAUUGAGAAACCUGUAUGUAUGAUUUUGGAGCGGUUGUUGUCAUUUAAAUUGGUUGAUACUUCUAAGAAUUUUAUAUUCAUAAAUUUGGUUUGAACAUAGAAAACUUUUACUUUUACAAAUGCUAUGUUUAUAUUCGUAGGUUCGUAUGGAAUUAAAUUUUAGAUAUAUAAUGUGACGACUAUGUAAAUGUUCUAAAGUGUAUCUGAAAUAUUAUGCAGAUAUUCUAAAUUGUGUAAAUUUAUGCAAAAGUGUUAACUCUAAAUUUCUAAAUUAGUAGGUCUCAAAAUAAAAGAUUAUUUUUGCAGUUAACGGAAGAAUCGAUUCAAGAUGGUUCGCGCUGACUGUCUCGUUCCACUAACUCACAAUCAAUUUGAUUGGAUUUCUUCAACUGAAGUCACUUAACGUUUAAGAGAUCAUGUAAUUGACUGGGAUACAUCGUUUAAGCUUAGUUUACAUCCAAACGGUAGAUCAAGUUAAAUCGAACUACGAAAAGAAAUCAGGGAAAGGUGGACAAGAGGAAGACUCAUCGAGGUCGCUGAUCGAGGUCAAGUUUUAGACUACUGUAAUGUCUAAUCAUAGUGCAUGUGGAUGCUGGUGUCGUUUCCUUCUCGUAAAUAUCAUAUCCUGGAGAAGGGGAAAUUCCACGGAGAAGUUAGAAUAUCGGAAUCUCGGGCUCUUUUUUGACUCUUUGAAUUUUUCAAUUUUUUAAAUUUCCAACUUUUCGAAUUUUCAAAAUUUCAAAUUUCCGAAUUCUUAAACUUUCAAAUUUCCAAAUUUCCGAAUUUUGAAGUUUUUCAAUUUCUCAAUUUUCAACUUUUCGAAUUUUUUAAUUUCUAAAAUUAAAAAUCUUUAGCUCAUCGAAUAAAAUAUGCAUUACCCGAUUCGUUAACAUUAAAUUCUCAUAGUCUCCAAAACUUCUAAAACAUUCGUCUUCGACAAAAAUUUCUAAAACUCAUUUUUAAUUUGACUUUUACUAUUUUUAAUUUGACCUAACAUUGAUAUGUGAUAUCGAUGUGUACGAUAAUAACAAUUAUGCAAACUUUACAUGUUCCUACAUUACGAAGUCAUAUUUUACAUCACUGUGAUGUCUAGUACCGUUGUCUUCUUAUAGCAGUCAGUUUCUGGGGAUGGGGAAUUCCAGAGAGAAGUCGAGAGAUUGGAAUCUCGGGCUCUCUUCUGGCGUCUGUUUAGCAGUACCACUCACUCUCUCUUCUUUUUUCUUUUCCUUCUCUUGGCUAUGCUGGUAUACAUAUAUUUUACGUCUUAUCUGAGCAUAAAGGCAAGUUGUUCGAUUCAGAAACCUGUCUGCAACAACAUUCUAAAUUACCACUGGGAACUCCCCUGAUCUAAUUUCGUUUAGACUUAGGAACAACUUAUUGAGACUUACGGAAAUGUAGAAAGAUGCUUUAAUGGGAUAUGGGCAUCUUGAAUGAUGGAUUGAGUUUUUAUAUUGCCUGAACGGAAUUGAAAUUAUAUGGAGAAGAGCUUUUAGUCCAUAUACUAAUUAAACAAUUAAAAAAAAUGAAUAAAAUUGUUACAAAGAGAACAAUGUCUCUUUGACAAAAUUGCUAAAUUUUGAUUUAUAUAUCGAAGAGAUUUGAAUUUUAUUUGAUUUGACUUAAUGAAUUUUGUGGAUUAAAAGAAUUCUUCUUUAUUUGUAUAAUGUCGAAUUUUAUUAGUUGUUAAUAUAAUCAAUUACUUACAUUCUCUAUCGUUGAAAAGAGAAUUGCCAUAAUCUAAUCGCAAUCAAUAAACUAAUGCGUAAAUUUUCAUUGUUUGAUUUAUACAAACAAUGAAAUUACGUAAUAUUAGAUAUGGAUUUUAUCUUUAUUUACCAAUCGAUUUAUCGAUUUAGAGAUUUAUAGAUAAUAAAUAAGAAGUAACUUAUAUAUGUACUACCAUGAAUAUAUUUGACAAUAACAAAUUAAUUGUGAUUUGUUCCUGGCUGUAUU